CUCAGGAUGAACGCUAGCUACAGGCUUAACACAUGCAAGUCGAGGGGCAGCAUGGUCUUAGCUUGCUAAGGCCGAUGGCGACCGGCGCACGGGUGAGUAACACGUAUCCAACCUGCCGUCUACUCUUGGACAGCCUUCUGAAAGGAAGAUUAAUACAAGAUGGCAUCAUGAGUCCACAUGUUCACAUGAUUAAAGGUAUUCCGGUAGACAAUGGGGAUGCGUUCCAUUAGAUAGUAGGCGGGGUAACGGCCCACCUAGUCUUCGAUGGAUAGGGGUUCUGAGAGGAAGGUCCCCCACAUUGGAACUGAGACACGGUCCAAACUCCUACGGGAGGCAGCAGUGAGGAAUAUUGGUCAAUGGGCGAGAGCCUGAACCAGCCAAGUAGCGUGAAGGAUGACUGCCCUAUGGGUUGUAAACUUCUUUUAUAAAGGAAUAAAGUCGGGUAUGGAUACCCGUUUGCAUGUACUUUAUGAAUAAGGAUCGGCUAACUCCGUGUCAGCAGCCGCGGUAAUACGGAGGAUCCGAGCGUUAUCCGGAUUUAUUGGGUUUAAAGGGAGCGUAGAUGGAUGUUUAAGUCAGUUGUGAAAGUUUGCGGCUCAACCGUAAAAUUGCAGUUGAUACUGGAUAUCUUGAGUGCAGUUGAGGCAGGCGGAAUUCGUGGUGUAGCGGUGAAAUGCUUAGAUAUCACGAAGAACUCCGAUUGCGAAGGCAGCCUGCUAAGCUGCAACUGACAUUGAGGCUCGAAAGUGUGGGUAUCAAACAGGAUUAGAUACCCUGGUAGUCCACACGGUAAACGAUGAAUACUCGCUGUUUGCGAUAUACAGCAAGCGGCCAAGCGAAAGCGUUAAGUAUUCCACCUGGGGAGUACGCCGGCAACGGUGAAACUCAAAGGAAUUGACGGGGGCCCGCACAAGCGGAGGAACAUGUGGUUUAAUUCGAUGAUACGCGAGGAACCUUACCCGGGCUUAAAUUGCAGAUGAAUUACGGUGAAAGCCGUAAGCCGCAAGGCAUCUGUGAAGGUGCUGCAUGGUUGUCGUCAGCUCGUGCCGUGAGGUGUCGGCUUAAGUGCCAUAACGAGCGCAACCCUUGUUGUCAGUUACUAACAGGUUCCGCUGAGGACUCUGACAAGACUGCCAUCGUAAGAUGUGAGGAAGGUGGGGAUGACGUCAAAUCAGCACGGCCCUUACGCCCGGGGCUACACACGUGUUACAAUGGGGGGUACAGAGGGCCGCUACCACGCGAGUGGAUGCCAAUCCCAAAAACCUCUCUCAGUUCGGACUGGAGUCUGCAACCCGACUCCACGAAGCUGGAUUCGCUAGUAAUCGCGCAUCAGCCACGGCGCGGUGAAUACGUUCCCGGGCCUUGUACACACCGCCCGUCAAGCCAUGGGAGCCGGGGGUACCUGAAGUGCGUAACCGCGAGGAG
Molecule: ribosomal RNA, 1425 nt
Filed under: uncultured organism
Description: 16S ribosomal RNA
Rfam family: Bacterial small subunit ribosomal RNA
Source: RNAcentral